This 514-nucleotide ribosomal RNA is filed under the name uncultured Glomus. RNAcentral describes it as "SSU rRNA". It matches the Rfam family "Eukaryotic small subunit ribosomal RNA", at positions 569 to 1086 of the family's 1831-position model. Lineage: Eukaryota; Fungi; Glomeromycota; Glomeromycetes; Glomerales; Glomeraceae. The record is from RNAcentral.
AGCAGCCGCGGUAAUUCCAGCUCCAAUAGCGUAUAUUAAAGUUGUUGCAGUUAAAAAGCUCGUAGUUGAAUUUCGGGAUCAGUUGAUCGGUCGUGCCUCGGUACGUACUGGUUAAAUUGAUUCCUACCUUCUGACGAACCACGAUGUCAUUAAUUUGAUGUCGCGGGAAAUCAGGACUGUUACUUUGAAAAAAUUAGAGUGUUUAAAGCAGGCUCGCGCUUGAAUACAUUAGCAUGGAAUAAUGAAAUAGGACGUUUGAUUCUAUUUUGUUGGUUUCUAGGAUCGACGUAAUGAUUAAUAGGGAUAGUUGGGGGCAUUAGUAUUCAAUUGUCAGAGGUGAAAUUCUUGGAUUUAUUGAAGACUAACUACUGCGAAAGCAUUUGCCAAGGAUGUUUUCAUUAAUCAAGAACGAAAGUUAGGGGAUCGAAGACGAUCAGAUACCGUCGUAGUCUUAACCAUAAACUAUAGCCGACUAGGGAUCGGAUGAUGUAAUUUUUAAUGACUCAUUCGCGCC